This 224-nucleotide unclassified non-coding RNA is filed under the name Hevea brasiliensis (rubber tree). Lineage: Eukaryota; Viridiplantae; Streptophyta; Magnoliopsida; Malpighiales; Euphorbiaceae. The record is from RNAcentral.
GUUGAAAGUGUUUCACAUAGUUAUACUUCUAGUUUCUUUUCCUCUUGGAUGCCCCAAAAGCAACCGUUGGCCUUCAUGUGUUUCCUGUCAAUCAUUGGAUUCAUAGUCAUCAAACAAGAAAAAAGAUGUAAAAUACCUCUUAAUCCUACCCCACUCCUAGUUAUCAACGUACUGCUCUAAUGCUUUCAGGUUUUAAAUAGUAGCCAUCUGCUGGCCUAAAAAUA